RNAcentral lists this ribosomal RNA (156 nucleotides) under Mucor circinelloides. Its description in RNAcentral is "5.8S ribosomal RNA". It matches the Rfam family "5.8S ribosomal RNA". From Rfam's summary of the family: 5.8S ribosomal RNA (5.8S rRNA) is a component of the large subunit of the eukaryotic ribosome. It is transcribed by RNA polymerase I as part of the 45S precursor that also contains 18S and 28S rRNA. The record is from RNAcentral. Lineage: Eukaryota; Fungi; Mucoromycota; Mucoromycetes; Mucorales; Mucoraceae.
AACUUUUAACAACGGAUCUCUUGGUUCUCGCAUCGAUGAAGAACGUAGCAAAGUGCGAUAACUARUGUGAAUUGCAUAUUCAGUGAAUCAUCGAGUCUUUGAACGCAACUUGCGCUCAUUGGUAUUCCAAUGAGCACGCCUGUUUCAGUAUCAAAA